GGGGUUGUGGCUCAGUGGUAGAGUGCUCACCUAGCAUGUGAGAGGCCCUGGGUUCAAUCCUCAGCACCACA
RNAcentral lists this transfer RNA (71 nucleotides) under Marmota monax (woodchuck). Its description in RNAcentral is "tRNA.Ala". It matches the Rfam family "tRNA". From Rfam's summary of the family: Transfer RNA (tRNA) molecules are approximately 80 nucleotides in length. Their secondary structure includes four short double-helical elements and three loops (D, anti-codon, and T loops). The record is from RNAcentral. Lineage: Eukaryota; Metazoa; Chordata; Mammalia; Rodentia; Sciuridae.